Molecule: ribosomal RNA, 2311 nt
Filed under: human gut metagenome
Description: bacterial LSU rRNA
Rfam family: Bacterial large subunit ribosomal RNA
Source: RNAcentral
CUAAGAUAGUAAGAGCAUACGGUGGAUGCCUUGGCGAUAUCUGCCGAUGAAGGACGCGACAAGCUGCGAAAAGCUGCGGAGAGGUGCAAAUGACCAUUGACCCGCAGAUCUCCGAAUGGAGCAAUCCGGCAGGGUUUAUCCCCUGUCACCCAUAUCUUCGAAUAUGGGAGGGAACCGGGCGAACUGAAACAUCUAAGUAGCCCGAGGAAGAGUAAUCAAACGAGAUACCCCAAGUAGCGGCGAGCGAACGGGGCCCAAGCCCAAACCGGUGAAGGAAACUUUGCCGGGGUUGAGGACUGCCAUACGAACUAGCCCAUUAGCCGAAAUUCCUGGGAAGGAAUGCCGAAGAAUGUGAAAGCCAUGUAAGCGAAAAUGGAAAAGGGACAGGCAGCACCAGAGUACCGCGGGACACGAGAAACCCCGUGGGAAGCCGGGGGGACCACCCUCCAAGGCAAAACACAGAUAUCGACCGAUAGCGCAUAGUACCAUGAGGGAAAGGUGAAAAGCACCCCGGGAGGGGAAUGAAAUAGAACCUGAAACCGUAUGUUUACAAGCAGUCGAAGACCGCUUAAUAAUAAGGUCAACGGCGUGCCUAUUGAAGAAUGAACCGGCGAGUUAUGAGGUCCAGCAAGGUUAAGCAGGAAAUGCGGAGCCGAAGCGAAAGCGAGUCUUAAUAGGGCGACAAGUUGGAUUGCAUAGACCCGAAACCACAGUGAUCUACCCAUGUCCAGGCUGAAGCACAGGUAAAAAUGUGUGGAGGGCCGAACCUAUAUCCGUUGAAAAGGGUUAGGAUGAGGUGUGGGUAGGGGUGAAAUUCCAAUCGAACGUGGAGAUAGCUGGUUCUCCCCGAAAUAGCUUUAGGGCUAGCCUCGAGGUAGAGAUUGCAGGCGGUAGAGCACUGAUCAGGAGAGGGGCCUACCCGGCUACCAAACCCAGUCAAACUACGAAUGGCUGCAAUUAUACUCGGGAGUCAGACUACGACUUAUAAGGGCCGUGGUCAAAAGGGAAACAGCCCAGAUCAUCAGCUAAGGUCCCAAAUGCCGUGCUAAGUGGCGAAGGAUGUGGCGUUUCAUAAACAACCAGGAUGUUGGCUCAGAAGCAGCCACCAUUUAAAGAGUGCGUAAUAGCUCACUGGUCGAGAGACGCUGCGCCGAAAAUGUCCGGGGCUCAAGCACGGAACCGAAGCUAUGGCAUUGACUAUGUCAAUGGGUAGGGGAGCGUUCUUAACAGGAAGAAGCAUGACCGGAAGGACAUGUGGACCGUUAAGAAGUGAGAAUGCCGGUAUGAGUAUCGAAAAGAAAGGUGAGAAUCCUUUCCACCGAAAGCCCGAGGGUUCCUGAGCAACGAUCGUCGUCUCAGGGUAAGUCGGGACCUAAGCCGAGGCGGAGACGCAUAGGCGAUGGACAACAGGUUGAAAUUCCUGUACCGGAUACAAUCGUUUGAGCGAUGGAGCGACGCAGAAAGGCAUAUGAUCGCGCGACUGGAAGAGCGCGUCCAAGUGCGUAUGUUGAAUCGGAGGCAAAUCCCUGAUUCUGAAAGCAGAGACACGAUGGGGAGUUAUACGAAAGUAUGACGAACUCAUAGAUCCUACACUGCCAAGAAAAACUUCUAGUGAGAAAGUAUCCGCCCGUACCGUAAACCGACACAGGUAGGCGGGGAGAGAAUCCUAAGGUGCGCGGGAAAACCCUCGUUAAGGAACUCGGCAAAUUGCAUCCGUAACUUAGGGAGAAGGAUGACCUUAAGUAAGCGAAAGGGAGAAACCCCUGGAACAGAACAAGGUGGCAGAAAAGAGGCCCAAGCAACUGUUUACCAAAAACACAGGUGCCUGCGAAAGCGAAAGCUGAAGUAUAGGUGCUGACGCCUGCCCGGUGCUGGAAGGUUAAGGAGAGAUGUCAGAGCAAUCGAAGCAUUGAACUGAAGCCCCAGUGAACGGCGGCCGUAACUAUAACGGUCCUAAGGUAGCGAAAUUCCUUGUCGGGUAAGUUCCGACCCGCAUGAAAGGCGUAAUGAUUUGGGCACUGUCUCAACGAGGGGCCCGGUGAAAUUGAAAUACCUGUGAAGAUGCAGGUUACCCGCGACUGGACAGAAAGACCCCAUGGAGCUUCACUGCAGCUUGAGAUUGAAUCUCGGUGAUGCAUGCACAGGAUAGGUGGGAGACUUUGAAGUAUGGGCUUUGGCUUAUACUGAGUCGAUGUUGGGAUACCACCCUUGUAUUGCUGAGAUUCUAACACGGAGGCUAACAACCUCGUGGACCAUCUCAGGUAGGCGGUUUGACUGGGGCGGUCGCCUCCGAAAGAGUAACGGAGGCGCC